UUUGUCCUGCCCUGAUGGUGAUUAAGAUGAGAAAGUUGAUCCGGCAAGUUAGAUCUUUAGGGAGCCUGCGUAAGGGAUGUGGUGUGCAUGCCGAGCACCAGCUCCUGAUCAAUUUCCAGGUGGCCUUAAUAUUGAGGAGCCUGCUGUCAGAAGCUGGUGCUCGGAAGCCUAAGCACCCUUCAGGGCACCCACCUGCAAACAGGGGAUCUAAUUUUUCAUCUACACCUCAGGGCGGGUCAGUU
Molecule: non-coding RNA, 242 nt
Filed under: Nitrospirota bacterium
Lineage: Bacteria; Pseudomonadati; Nitrospirota
Description: Nitrospirae bacterium (marine metagenome) 6S RNA
Rfam family: 6S / SsrS RNA
About the family: E. coli 6S RNA was the first non coding RNA to be sequenced, but its function was unknown until recently. It consists of 184 nucleotides that fold into an extended hairpin structure with a large single-stranded internal bulge.
Source: RNAcentral